This 99-nucleotide signal recognition particle RNA is filed under the name Crocinitomicaceae bacterium. RNAcentral describes it as "signal recognition particle sRNA small type". It matches the Rfam family "Bacteroidales small SRP". From Rfam's summary of the family: The non-coding component of the signal recognition particle in Bacteroides Lineage: Bacteria; Pseudomonadati; Bacteroidota; Flavobacteriia; Flavobacteriales; Crocinitomicaceae. The record is from RNAcentral.
GGGUAAGUCUUGUACGACCAGCUCCUGUUAAAUCCCCCAGGAUGGGAACAUAGCAAGGGUAGACGGUUGUAGCGGUGCGAUACAAGUAGCUUACCCACU